This 467-nucleotide ribosomal RNA is filed under the name uncultured bacterium. RNAcentral describes it as "partial 16S ribosomal RNA". It matches the Rfam family "Bacterial small subunit ribosomal RNA", at positions 28 to 507 of the family's 1533-position model. The record is from RNAcentral.
GACGAACGCUGGCGGCGUGCUUAACACAUGCAAGUCGAACGGAAAGGCCCUGCUUUUGUGGGGUGCUCGAGUGGCGAACGGUGAGUAACACCUUGGUAACCUGCCCUUGACUUUGGGAUAACCUCCGGAAACUGGGGCUAAUACCGGAUAGGAGCUCCUGCUGCAUGGUGGGGGUUGGAAAGUUUCGGCGGUUGGGGAUGGACUCGCGGCUUAUCAGCUUGUUGGUGGGGUAGUGGCUUACCAAGGCUUUGACGGGUAGCCGGCCUGAGAGGGUGACCGGCCACAUUGGGACUGAGAUACGGCCCAGACUCCUACGGGAGGCAGCAGUGGGGAAUAUUGCACAAUGGGCGGAAGCCUGAUGCAGCAACGCCGCGUGCGGGAUGACGGCCUUCGGGUUGUAAACCGCUUUCGCCUGUGACGAAGCGUGAGUGACGGUAAUGGGUAAAGAAGCACCGGCUAACUACGUG